CAUCAACAAAACCAGUGGAAAGUUUACAGAUCGAGGGUUUAAAGUACACCAUCGUGUCCCUGAGGUUCAUAUGAGUUGAAUGGUACCAUUUUUAGGUAAGAAUUCCUUCGAAAACCCUAGUUUCUCUCGAACUUCGAUUAAGGUACUAUUCAUGCAAUCGUAAAAUCUCAUGUUUUUGGGGAUUUCAAGCUUAUAGGUAGCUUAAGGAGGUCCUCACGAGGUUAGGAGUGGUUCGUUGGAAGAUUUUGGAUGUCGGAAUAGUGAGAUUCGAUGAGUUGCAGGUUUGGCUGGAGUGUCGAGGAGUUUUCCGGCGAAGCCUGUGGGUUUUAGAGAUUUUAAAAGGUAUGGUUGUGUUCUAUUCGUCCUAAGCUUCAAAUUGGUUCAAGUUUCAUGAGUUUUGGAUGAAAAACGAGAAAGAUAUAAAUGUUUAAAGAAUUUCCCAGUUUCCGGCGCUGGCGACGGUCGCCAGAGUUUUGAGGUAGGGGAUGAUGGAAUAUUCCGUCAACUUUGACGGAAUAUUCCUAACGGCGUUGGUUAGUUUAACGGAUUCCAUUACUAUUUAAAAAAACAUUCCACGGAAUAUUCCUAACGGCAGUUAGGGUUUCCGUUAGGGUUCCCUGCGCGUGGUCGCUCGUGUUGCCGUGCCUUGACCGACGCGUGGCGGCGCGUGGAUGGUCAGAAAAUUAUUCUAAAAAUAUGGGGAUGUUCGUGGAGUUAUGUAGAUCAUGUUGGUAUAUUCAAACACCCCAUUUGAGCAUUGUAUGAGAAGUUAUUAGCUAGUUUUGUCUAUGUGCUUUAAAUUAACGUUUAUUCAGUUACUUCGCAUAUAGUGAGACUUAUCCCGAAGACGAGCGCAGUCAAGGGCGACUCGAGGGCUACGACCCUUCGACAUACCAGUGAGUGGGCUUUUGGUUUUCAGUAUAUAUUUAUAUACUUGAUAUUUUCCCAGAAAAUGCAUUUAAAUGAGUUAUGAUUUAAAUUGCCAUGCCAAAUGAUUUACAUUUACAAUAUGCAUAUGAUGUUUGCAUAUAUAUAUAUGUUGAUGCACAAAAUCAGCGAAGACUUUGGUACAACAGAAAGUGUCAGGUUUUGUGACCUUCGCUUGGUUGC
Molecule: long non-coding RNA, 1110 nt
Filed under: Malus domestica (apple)
Lineage: Eukaryota; Viridiplantae; Streptophyta; Magnoliopsida; Rosales; Rosaceae
Description: long non-coding RNA (MDOM_LNC008846)
Source: RNAcentral